UACGAAGGGGGCUAGCGUUGCUCGGAAUCACUGGGCGUAAAGGGUGCGUAGGCGGGUCUUUUAAGUCAGGGGUGAAAUCCUGGAGCUCAACUCCAGAACUGCCUUUGAUACUGAAGAUCUUGAGUUCGGGAGAGGUGAGUGGAACUGCGAGUGUAGAGGUGAAAUUCGUAGAUAUUCGCAAGAACACCAGUGGCGAAGGCGGCUCACUGGCCCGAUACUGACGCUGAGGCACGAAAGCGAUGGGGGAGCCAAACAGG
Molecule: ribosomal RNA, 257 nt
Filed under: uncultured bacterium
Lineage: Bacteria
Description: partial 16S ribosomal RNA
Rfam family: Bacterial small subunit ribosomal RNA
Source: RNAcentral